UGUGAACUGUGCUACCUAACUUUGUCAUC
Molecule: non-coding RNA, 29 nt
Filed under: Mus musculus (house mouse)
Lineage: Eukaryota; Metazoa; Chordata; Mammalia; Rodentia; Muridae
Source: RNAcentral